Molecule: ribosomal RNA, 446 nt
Filed under: uncultured bacterium
Lineage: Bacteria
Description: SSU rRNA
Rfam family: Bacterial small subunit ribosomal RNA
Source: RNAcentral
AGAGCGAACGCUGGCGGCAGGCCUAACACAUGCAAGUCGAGCGCCCGUAGCAAUACGGGAGCGGCAGACGGGAUAGUAACACGUGGGAACGCGCCCUUCGGUUCGGAAUAACUCAGGGAAACUUGAGCUAAUACCGAAUACGCCCUUACGGGGAAAGAUUUAUUGCCGAAGGAACGGCCCGCGUCCGAUUAGCUAGUUGGUGAGGUAAUGGCUCACCAAGGCUACGAUCGGUAGCUGGUCUGAGAGGAUGACCAGCAUCACUGGGACUGAGACACGGCCCAGACUCCUACGGGAGGCAGCAGUGGGGAAUAUGGACAAUGGGCGCAAGCCUGAUCCAGCCAUGCCGCGUGGAUGAUGAAGGCCUUAGGGUUGUAAAGUCCUUUUAACGGGGAAGAUAAUGACGGUACCCGUAGAAUAAGCCCCGGCUAACUCGUGCCAGCAGCCGC